CCUACGGGAGGCAGCAGUGAGGAAUAUUGGUCAAUGGACGCAAGUCUGAACCAGCCAUGCCGCGUGCAGGAAGACGGCUCUAUGGGUUGUAAACUGCUUUUGUACGGGGGUAAACUCCGAUACGCGUAUCUUUCUGAAUGUAUCAUACGAAUAAGGAUCGGCUAACUCCGUGCCAGCAGCCGCGGUAAUACGGAGGAUUCAAGCGUUAUCCGGAUUUAUUGGGUUUAAAGGGUGCGUAGGCGGUCGGAUAAGUUAGAGGUGAAAUCCCGAGGCUCAACUUCGGAAUUGCCUCUGAUACUGUGUGUCUAGAGAGUAGUUGCGGUAGGCGGAAUGUAUGGUGUAGCGGUGAAAUGCUUAGAGAUCAUACAGAACACCGAUUGCGAAGGCAGCUUACCAAGCUACGUCUGACGCUGAGGCACGAAAGCGUGGGGAGCAAACAGGAUUAGAUACCCCAGUAGUC
RNAcentral lists this ribosomal RNA (460 nucleotides) under uncultured bacterium. Its description in RNAcentral is "partial 16S ribosomal RNA". It matches the Rfam family "Bacterial small subunit ribosomal RNA", at positions 338 to 795 of the family's 1533-position model. The record is from RNAcentral.